This 83-nucleotide transfer RNA is filed under the name Ascodesmis nigricans. It matches the Rfam family "tRNA". From Rfam's summary of the family: Transfer RNA (tRNA) molecules are approximately 80 nucleotides in length. The record is from Rfam by way of RNAcentral. Lineage: Eukaryota; Fungi; Ascomycota; Pezizomycetes; Pezizales; Ascodesmidaceae.
GGUCGCAUGGCCUAAUGGCAAGGCGUUGGACUUCGGCGACAGUUGGUUUCCAAAGAUUGUCGGUUCGAUCCCGGCUGCGACCU